This 262-nucleotide long non-coding RNA is filed under the name Mytilus galloprovincialis (Mediterranean mussel). The record is from RNAcentral. Lineage: Eukaryota; Metazoa; Mollusca; Bivalvia; Mytilida; Mytilidae.
CCCAGACUUCUUGCACAAAUUUGGAGAAACUAAUUUUUAGAAAGAAAAAAAAACAAGACUGUUCUAAACAAAAAAACGUCCGCCUAUACCUAUCAGCGAAAUAUGACAUAUAGUUAGCUUUUCGUUAUGACAUUACAUUACUGAAUAUCACUGUAACUUAAAGGGGCAUUAGCUGUCCAAUUCGUGUUCCCCAAUUUGACUCAAAUUUUAUAUCUUAUUUUUAGCAAACUUAAACGUAUAUCCAAAUUAUAGAAUAGUCCAA